UACGGGGGGGGCAAGCGUUGUUCGGAAUUACUGGGCGUAAAGGGCUGGUAGGCGGCCAACUAAGUCGGAUGUGAAAUCCCCAGGCUUAACCUGGGAACUGCGUUUGAAACUACAAGGCUAGAGUGUGACAGAGGGGGGUGGAAUUCCACGUGUAGCAGUGAAAUGCGUAGAGAUGUGGAGGAAUACCAUGGCGAAGGCAGCCCCCUGGGAUAAGUAUUGACGCUCAUGCACGAAAGCGUGGGGAGCAAACAGG
Molecule: ribosomal RNA, 253 nt
Filed under: uncultured bacterium
Lineage: Bacteria
Description: partial 16S ribosomal RNA
Rfam family: Bacterial small subunit ribosomal RNA
Source: RNAcentral